UACGUAGGGCGCAAGCGUUAUCCGGAAUUAUUGGGCGUAAAGAGCUCGUAGGCGGUUUGUCGCGUCUGCUGUGAAAACUCGGGGCUUAACCCCGGGCCUGCAGUGGGUACGGGCAGACUAGAGUGCGGUAGGGGAGACUGGAAUUCCUGGUGUAGCGGUGAAAUGCGCAGAUAUCAGGAGGAACACCGGUGGCGAAGGCGGUUCUCUGGGCCUGUACUGACGCUGAGGAACGAAAGCGUGGGGAGCGAACAGG
Molecule: ribosomal RNA, 253 nt
Filed under: uncultured bacterium
Lineage: Bacteria
Description: partial 16S ribosomal RNA
Rfam family: Bacterial small subunit ribosomal RNA
Source: RNAcentral